Molecule: non-coding RNA, 656 nt
Organism: Schizosaccharomyces pombe (fission yeast)
Lineage: Eukaryota; Fungi; Ascomycota; Schizosaccharomycetes; Schizosaccharomycetales; Schizosaccharomycetaceae
Source: the annotation of a GenBank genome assembly
AAGCCCAUACAAGCAAAAUAUCUUUAAAUAAUUAAUUGCAUAAAAUGUGAACGAGGGAAAGGUUCAUUUUCAACUCGCAUAUAAACAAGCAUUAAUGCAAAAACUCAUCAACUGCUUCACUAGUAAUAUCUUCAGAAUCUCUAGCUUCAAAUACUUUGUGCACCUGCGACACAUCUUGAAACCAGACUUUAGCAGAAGCAUAAAUCAUAGAUAAGUCAUUUGGGGUAGCACUUGGUCUCCAGUAUAUCAUAAACAAUGGAGUACUAAGUCGACCAUCUGUGGUUUUGGUAGGAUAGGAAACAAGGAUAAAUCUAGGAUUUGUUUCCGAGAGUUCAUCUGCGACCUCUUCAAUACUCUGUAAAUCCAUGAUUUCUCCAUCGGGAACAAUCUCCUUAGUAGCUUUAUCAACCUUGAGAAUGAAAGCAUACAUAACUGAUUUCUUCAACCGCAAACGAAAUCGAUCAAUUUCUUUCAUCGUGGUAUCCGAAAUGGUGAACAUACGAGCCUCUGAUGACAUCUUUCUUGUUAGUUUAUAAUAUUUAUGUAAAACCACAGCAAUAGCCAAUUAAGGAAAUUUAAUUUCGAGGGUGGUGCUUUUGUUGGGUUGAAUUAAUACCGUUCGUGCAGAAUCCUAAAAGAUAUUUAAAUUCAUGCUA